GUGGACGGCCAAAGGAGCGUGGUUCAUCUGAUCCCAUCUCGAACUCAGAAAUUAAGAACGCUUCCGUAUCUUGGUGUAUUGCAUUAUGCGGGAAACUUGGUAAGCUGUCCACC
RNAcentral lists this ribosomal RNA (113 nucleotides) under Candidatus Woesearchaeota archaeon CG10_big_fil_rev_8_21_14_0_10_32_24. Lineage: Archaea; Nanobdellati; Candidatus Woesearchaeota. The record is from RNAcentral.